AACGAACGCUGGCGGCAGGCCUAACACAUGCAAGUCGAGCGCCCUUUCGGGGGAGCGGCGGACGGGUGAGUAACGCGUGGGAAUAUGCCCUUCUCUACGGAAUAGCCUCGGGAAACUGAGAGUAAUACCGUAUACGCCCUGUGGGGGAAAGAUUUAUCGGGGAAGGAUUAGCCCGCUUUGGAUUAGGUAGUUGGUAGGGUAAUGGCCUACCAAGCCGACGAUCCAUAGCUGGUUUGAGAGGAUGAUCAGCCACACUGGGACUGAGACACGGCCCAGACUCCUACGGGAGGCAGGAGUGGGGAAUCUUAGACAAUGGGGGCAAACCUGAUCUAGCCAUGCCGCGUGAGUGAUGAAGGCCUUAGGGUUGUAAAGCUCUUUCAGCUGGGAAGAUAAUGACGGUAACAGCAGAAGAAGCCCCGGCUAACUCCGUG
This 431-nucleotide ribosomal RNA is filed under the name uncultured bacterium. Its description in RNAcentral is "partial 16S ribosomal RNA". It matches the Rfam family "Bacterial small subunit ribosomal RNA", at positions 29 to 507 of the family's 1533-position model. The record is from RNAcentral.